UAGCUUCUUGUGGCUUCGGGGCAGCGCUGGUCGGUUCCGGGGCUUAAAAAGGGAACGGGGUGAAAGUCCCCACGCGGAAACGGCGCUGUAAGUGUCGAUGCGUCCGGUUCGUCGGCGGAAGCCGGUCAUUGGGGAAACCUGAGAAGGCAGACCCGGACACGUUGGAGGCACAAGUCAGAAGACCUACAGGAAUGAGAAAAGCAGG
This 205-nucleotide non-coding RNA is filed under the name Bacillota bacterium. The record is from RNAcentral. Lineage: Bacteria; Bacillati; Bacillota.